Molecule: ribosomal RNA, 229 nt
Filed under: uncultured bacterium
Lineage: Bacteria
Description: partial 16S ribosomal RNA
Rfam family: Bacterial small subunit ribosomal RNA
Source: RNAcentral
UGCGCAGGCGGACUAUUAAGUCAGUGGUGAAAUCUCCCGGCUCAACCGGGAAACUGCCAUUGAUACUGAUAGUCUUGAGUAUAGUUGUAGUGGGCGGAAUAUAGCAUGUAGCGGUGAAAUGCUUAGAUAUGCUAUAGAACACCGAUCGCGAAGGCAGCUCACUAAACUAUAACUGACGCUCAGGCACGAAAGCGUGGGGAGCAAACAGGAUUAGAUACCCGAGUAGUCC